Ciona savignyi (Pacific transparent sea squirt) is the source of this 387-nucleotide non-coding RNA. The record is from Rfam. Lineage: Eukaryota; Metazoa; Chordata; Ascidiacea; Phlebobranchia; Cionidae.
AGCAAUAACAGGUCUGUGAUGCCCUUAGAUGUUCGGGGCCGCACGCGCGCUACACUGACCGGAUCAGCGUGUGCUCUCCUUGGCCGACAGGUCCGGGAAACCCGUUGAACCCCGGUCGUGCUAGGGAUAGGGAAUUGCAAUUAUUUCCCUUGAACGAGGAAUUCCCAGUAAGCGCGAGUCAUUAGCUCGCGUUGAUUACGUCCCUGCCCUUUGUACACACCGCCCGUCGCUACUACCGAUUGAAUGGUUUAGUGAGGUCCUCCGAUUGGACCCGGUCCGGGCGGCGACGUCCGAGCCGGCGUCCGAGAAGACGAUCUAACUUGAUCAUUUAGAGGAAGUAAAAGUCGUAACAAGGUUUCCGUAGGUGAACCUGCGGAAGGAUCAUUA